CAACCACUGUGAUUAUUAUUAUUUGACCAUGUUGGUCAUUUAUGAACAUUUGAACAUCUUGGCCAUGUUCUGUUAUAAUCUCCACCCAGCACAGCCAGAAGAGAACUGGCCACCCCUCAUAGCCUGGUUCCUUUCUAGGUUUCUUCCUAGGUUUUGGCCUUUCUAGGGAGUUUUUCCUAGCCACCGUGCUUCUACACCUGCAUUGCUUGCUGUUUGGGGUUUUAGGCUGGGUUUCUGUACAGCACUUUGAGAUAUAAGGCUGAUGUAAGAAGGGCUAUAUAAAUACAUUUGAUUUGAUUUGAUGAUUACGUAAUGAACCGAUGUGUCCGACGCUAUGCUGGUUGCGUGGUUACCUCGUAGCGGUCGCGAAGGAAGGAGGACGCCGGAAGUUCUAGUUCUAUUUCAGCUCAGAAGCGCUCGCUCAGUCCGCGCAAAAUGAUUACCUCAGAAUUGCUCUCCAAGGAGGGUGUUUUUGACGGUGACAACCUGCUGCUUCAGAGGACCGAAAAGACUGGAAAGAAAACACUAUUUCGUUAUCAUAUAUUUGUAUUUAUAUAAGAAAGUAUUGUUAAAUAGGAAUAAAGAAUUUAAGCAUUUUUUUGAUUGAUGUUAUAUUGUCACUGCUAGCUAACAUUAUUUAUGUAUAUCAGCCAGACAGCUUUAUUUAGCUAACGUUAUCUAAGUUAGCUAGCUAACGUUUAGUGUUAUUAUAGCUGCUUUUUGUUUGCAUGUAGCUUGCACUUCAAUGGCAUCCCUCGAGGAGAUGUUAUUGUAUUUUUCCAACCAGGCGAAGUACUAUGAAGACACACUGAUCUCGACAAGAGGCGCAACAUUCAUAGGGGGCAGAGAAAUGCACAAUUCAGGGUCAGUACUUGUCUAGCCUGCCAGAAGUUUAAGAGGGUGAAGACUGUGGCGCCGAAGUUGAAGCCCAUCAAAAUUGUUUCACCAUGGCACAUGAUCAGCUGGGCACUUGGCACCAUUUUCCAAUCCCGAUUCCAGUCCCUGUUCUGGGUCCAUUCUCCCAAGAUGUCCACACCCUACACAACAGAGGUCAGCGUCCACUGCUUCUGUCAGGAGAUACGUGAGUGAAGCCCUCCUGGUUUUGACCCUUGCCUGUCCUGACGCCGAUUCCGCCUGCCUGACCACACUUCCUGUUCUGACCUCGAGCAUGCCUAUCCCCUUGUACUGUUUGGACUCGGACCUGUUCACUGAACCCCUGCCUGUCCUGACCUCGAGCCUGCCUAUCGCCUGGUACUGUUUGGACUCUGACCUGGUUUAUGAACUCUCACCUAUCCCCGACCUGCCUUUUGCCUACCCCUUUUGGUUUAAUAAAUAUUGGAGCUCAACC
Molecule: long non-coding RNA, 1348 nt
Filed under: Salmo salar (Atlantic salmon)
Lineage: Eukaryota; Metazoa; Chordata; Actinopteri; Salmoniformes; Salmonidae
Description: lncRNA (ENSSSAG00000107348.1, ENSSSAG00020016674.1)
Source: RNAcentral